This is a non-coding RNA of Anolis sagrei ordinatus, 620 nucleotides long. Lineage: Eukaryota; Metazoa; Chordata; Lepidosauria; Squamata; Anolidae. The record is from RefSeq and is a predicted model, not a curated record.
GGAGUUGAUUAUAAAUUGUAUGAUUUUAACUGUAUUUGUGUUUAGAUUGGCUGCAGUAAUGCUGGAGCUGCCUAAGUCAGAGGAGUCCUCCAUGUGCGUUGCCAUGGAGACCGAUGCAGGAGAGAGGGAAGUGGGAGGAGCUUAGAGGGGAGAGUUUGAAAAAACGACAGUUAAAAAUCAGUUAGGGUUUAGGUUUAGAGGAGUGAGCAGUCAGGAGUUAGGUUCAGAGGAGUGAGGAGUUAGGAGUUGGGAGAGAAGGAAAGGAAAGGUGGCGGAGUGACUUGUGAAGCAAAGCUUUGAGGCUUUGAAAAGCUGGGUUUGGCUAUUGGAAGUUUCUCAGGCUAGUGCAGCUGAAUGGUGAAACAGAGCUGGUAUUCUUUUAGUCUAAGGAGAGGCUAAAGAAUAGUUUACUUAGUAUUUGAUCUAGGGAGGAUCAAACAAGGGAAACAUCCCUGUAUUGAAACUUUGUCUGAAACAAGUGCUCUACGUCAGAAAGAUACUGUGUUACUUGAAAGAAUGAACUGUUAAAGUUACAAGUAUUAUUCCAAGUGCAACAAGGAAAAGUUACGUCUUGCAACCACACGCUGUGUACUUAAUAAAAUUGUUAACUUUUAUUUGAA